This 236-nucleotide ribosomal RNA is filed under the name uncultured Lactobacillus sp. Its description in RNAcentral is "partial 16S ribosomal RNA". It matches the Rfam family "Bacterial small subunit ribosomal RNA", at positions 128 to 355 of the family's 1533-position model. Lineage: Bacteria; Bacillati; Bacillota; Bacilli; Lactobacillales; Lactobacillaceae. The record is from RNAcentral.
GCCCAAGAGAGUCGGGAUAACACCUAGGAAACAGAUGCUAAUACCGGAUAACAACAGAUGAUGCCUAUCAACUGUUUAAAAGAUGGUUCUGCUAUCACUCUUGGAUGGACCUGCGGUGCAUUAGCUAGUUGGUAGGGUAACGGCCUACCAAGGCGAUGAUGCAUAGCCGAGUUGAGAGACUGAUCGGCCACAUUGGGACUGAGACACGGCCCAAACUCCUACGGGAGGCAGCAGCA